GCCGAAGUGCUGGAACUGGCAGACGGGCCCGGCUCAAACCCGGGUGGAGGUGACUCCGUGUGGGUUCGAGUCCCACCUUCGGCACCA
This 87-nucleotide transfer RNA is filed under the name Chloroflexaceae bacterium. RNAcentral describes it as "tRNA-Leu". It matches the Rfam family "tRNA". From Rfam's summary of the family: Transfer RNA (tRNA) molecules are approximately 80 nucleotides in length. Their secondary structure includes four short double-helical elements and three loops (D, anti-codon, and T loops). Further hydrogen bonds mediate the characteristic L-shaped molecular structure. tRNAs have two regions of fundamental functional importance: the anti-codon, which is responsible for specific mRNA codon recognition, and the 3' end, to which the tRNAs corresponding amino acid is attached (by aminoacyl-tRNA synthetases). tRNAs cope with the degeneracy of the genetic code in two manners: having more than one tRNA (with a specific anti-codon) for a particular amino acid; and 'wobble' base-pairing, i.e. permitting non-standard base-pairing at the 3rd anti-codon position. The record is from RNAcentral. Lineage: Bacteria; Bacillati; Chloroflexota; Chloroflexia; Chloroflexales; Chloroflexaceae. RNAcentral also lists the same sequence under 1 other name.